Molecule: ribosomal RNA, 429 nt
Filed under: Pseudomonadota bacterium
Lineage: Bacteria; Pseudomonadati; Pseudomonadota
Description: Proteobacteria bacterium partial 16S ribosomal RNA
Rfam family: Bacterial small subunit ribosomal RNA
Source: RNAcentral
UGGGGAAUAUUCGACAAUGGGCGAAAGCCUGAUCCAGCCAUGCCGCGUGUGUGAAGAAGGUCUUCGGAUUGUAAAGCACUUUAAGUUGGGAGGAAGGGCAGUAAGCGAAUACCUUGCUGUUUUGACGUUACCGACAGAAUAAGCACCGGCUAACUCUGUGCCAGCAGCCGCGGUAAUACAGAGGGUGCGAGCGUUAAUCGGAUUUACUGGGCGUAAAGCGUGCGUAGGCGGCUAAUUGAGUCGGAUGUGAAAUCCCCGAGCUUAACUUGGGAAUUGCAUUCGAUACUGGUUAGCUAGAGUGUGGGAGAGGAUGGUAGAAUUCCAGGUGUAGCGGUGAAAUGCGUAGAGAUCUGGAGGAAUACCGAUGGCGAAGGCAGCCAUCUGGCCUAACACUGACGCUGAGGUACGAAAGCAUGGGGAGCAAACAGG